Molecule: ribosomal RNA, 491 nt
Filed under: uncultured bacterium
Lineage: Bacteria
Description: partial 16S ribosomal RNA
Rfam family: Bacterial small subunit ribosomal RNA
Source: RNAcentral
AGUGAACGCUGGCGGUAGGCCUAACACAUGCGAGUCGAACGGCAGCACAGUAAGAGCUUGCUCUUACGGGUGGCGAGUGGCGGACGGGUGAGGAAUACAUCGGAAUCUACUUUUUCGUGGGGGAUAACGUAGGGAAACUUACGCUAAUACCGCAUACGACCUACGGGUGAAAGCAGGGGAUCUUCGGACCUUGCGCGAUUGAAUGAGCCGAUGUCGGAUUAGCUAGUUGGCGGGGUAAAGGCCCACCAAGGCGACGAUCCGUAGCUGGUCUGAGAGGAUGAUCGGCCACACUGGAACUGAGACACGGUCCAGCCUCCUACGGGAGGCAGCAGUGGGGAAUAUUGGACAAUGGGCGCAAGCCUGAUCCAGCCAUACCGCGUGGGUGAAGAAGGCCUUCGGGUUGUAAAGCCCUUUUGUUGGGAAAGAAAAGCAGCAGGUUAAUACCCCGCUGUUCUGACGGUACCCAAAGAAUAAGCACCGGCUAACUUCGU